GUUAACUUUAUCUUAUUGUAUCAUAAAGCACUUCAUAUGGAUAAAGAAUGGGCAUUUCUCUGGGCUCCUAACCUCUCUGUAUUGAGUUUGUCCAACUGCUGUCUACUGCAAGAAGGUCCAGGUUGUUGAGGGAAAGCUGUAUUUUUUCACAGUUGCCUUGUAGAUGCCCAAUCACUGUACAUCAGAGAGCAGGCUCACAGUGGCAUUUGAAGAUGGAAUGAAUAGGUAAAUGAAUUAGGACAGUGACAUAAAAGAGAAAAUUGGGUUUAAUGGACUCCUCUUUGAUGAGGAUCCAAUCUGGUUUAUGUAACUCCCAUAUGAGAACCAUGGCCCAAGAAGUGGAUUUUAUGGGCAGAUUGGCUUUUAUAAGGAACAACUUCCUUUGCAUUAGGAUUACUGCCUGAGAAAGAGGUGAGCUCAGUCAUGUUCACUGUAGUUCCUGUUCAAGUGGAAGCCAGGUAUUUAUCUGCAGAAACAAAGGAAAGAAUUGCUGCUGAAGAGCUGGAUGGCCUCUUUGGAUCUCUUCCAACUCUGAGGUCCUCCAACAAUGGUCAUGAACAUGACUUUUUAUAUGGGUAGACAGGGAAGUCUUUGGAAAGAAAUGAAUCCUCGUGGUUGCAUUUGAUUUGCAGGGAAACCAGACGAAGCCCAGAGGAGAGCACCCACUGCCUUCAGCCUCACAACCCUUUCACUUUCAGGGAUAAGAACCCACCCUUCCAUCUCCCAGCCACAUCUGCAGAUGCCUUAGAGCCCAACACUUCCUUCAGGGUGUCUGCAAAUAGAAUAGAGAGGUCUUUGAUAUGACGGUGGGACUCAAGGACAGGGGCUUCUUUAUUUUGUAGGCAGGGUGCUUAGUCAAGUGGAAAGGAAGAAUGAUCAGGAAAGUCAGUGUAAAGUAAGAACUUAGAAGGAGAAACUAGAGGAAGUGAAGUAAGAGGCUGAAUAAGGAGAAGAUCUCCAGGAGGUUGUCUUCCUGAACCCUGGAAAACGAAGUUAAUUGUGCAAUGCAAAGGGGCAAGCAAUGUUGAUGAUGAGACAACUGAAUGGACAGAAGAAAAAGGCAAAGGAAGUGGAAAGAAGAGCCAAAGUCAGGUGCAAAAGAGAAAUUGCGGGUAGACCAGGUUUGCUUUUCCACCUACAGUGAACCCUUGGAUUAUGACCAGCCUGACAUACAACAUGGGUUAUGACUGGAAUUUUAGUUUUAACUUAUGACCAAAGUCUUGAGUUACGACCCAAAUGUUGGCUGCUUGUGCUUCCAGUUGGUCUCAGAUACAGAUUUUACCCUUAAAGAGUUCUGAAAGGAACAUUACAACAUCCUUCCCUGUAUGGGGUUAAUUGAGAAAUCCUGGGCCAAUUUCUCUUUAAGGACACUGAGAUUUUCCUGUAUACAGGAGAGAGACUUUGAAGGCUGUGUAGAGGAGCCUGAGCUUUUAAUUGACCAACCUGAGUGACAACCAGCUCUCUUGAAUGAAUCGAGUUUGGAAGUCAAAGGUCCACUGUAUUUGUAUCCGAUAUGAGCACUGGGAUGAUAGGUAAUGAUGUCUAUGAUUUCAGAGAAUUACAUACAACUAUUAUACUCCCUUCUCCUUCUUCUCAGGUGCUGUCUCCAGGACCAACCUCAUGGUUUCACUAUAGACUUUAAGGGAUCACGAGGAAGGAAUAAUGGUGCCAGCAGGCACCUGGGAAAGGGGCUGCAGAAGAAAGAAUGGUUUCAAGAGACCCUUGGGGAAGGACUCCAAUAACUGACAGUCUUUACUUGCUUGCUUGCAUAAGUGCCAAACUGUCUGUUGUUGUUUAUUUGUUUCUUGUUUAUUUCACAGGACCACGUACACAUAGUUGCUUUCUGAUUUGUGGUUUAACCUUGCCCUGUACUUAAAAGGACUGGGUCCCAGGGCAUCGUGGCUGUCUCACAUGGUUCCCUAGCAACCAAAUGAGACAGGGAAAUGUGCACAGUUGCAUCACCACAAGAUGUUAGGUCAAUUAAUAUUCAUUAGAAGUGCCUGUGUUUGACUGCUGGGAGACAUUAUGGAGAAAAAUAUCUUUGUUGCUGGAGUGGGGGAUGGAAGAAGAGAAGGGACAGUGAAUAUGUAUAUUAUAUACUGCAGACAUGUUUCUUAUAUUAGUACAUUGGCCCAUUUGUACAUGUAUGUAAAGAUUUUCAAAAAAUUAUUGUUUUUACAAUUAUCCUUCUAGGUUUAUUAUAUGGGAAUAGAUUUCAGAAACAAAGGAAGAUUCUACCUCAAGUACAGCUUUGUGGGAAAAGGACUCAAAUCAACUUUUGCAUCAUUUCUACAGCCAGAACCAGCUGCAUUUGGAACUAACUGCCUCUCAUUUGUUUACAAGAUGUUGAGAUUAUCCUGGAUUAUUUGAGUGGGCCCUAAGUGCAACCUAUGUAUCCUCAUAAGAAGGAGAUCUGACACAGAAGAAGAGGAGAAGGCAACAGGACCAAAGAGGCAGAGGCAGAGAUUUGAAGGAUGUGACCAUAAGGCUAAGAGUGUUGGCUGCUACCAAAGCUGCGCGAGGGCAAAUCACAACACGUUUCAUGUGCGGUCAUAUCUGAAGUAGAGGAGCAUGUGAAGGAAUUCCUGAGAAAACCUCCAGGCAGGAGUUGAGAAGGAGAAUGCUUGAGAAGGAAGCGGUCAUCCCAGGGUGCGUUGAAGUCUGACGGAAGGUACAAUACCACUCAUUGAGAAUUUAUAAUGGGCUAGGCCCAACAAUAGUUCUUUAGACAGUCUUUCACUUACAAAAACUUUGUGAGAUAGUUGCUUCAUUAUUUUCAUCCCACUUUGAAAUGAGGAAGUGGAGAUACAGAAAACUGCUCAUGGUUAUGAGGCUCAGAAGGGAAAGGAGGCAACUGGCUCUAGAAUCCACAUUAAUUACCUUGC
Long non-coding RNA from Heterocephalus glaber (naked mole-rat), 2885 nucleotides. The record is from Ensembl. Lineage: Eukaryota; Metazoa; Chordata; Mammalia; Rodentia; Bathyergidae.